RNAcentral lists this ribosomal RNA (924 nucleotides) under uncultured Bacteroidota bacterium. Its description in RNAcentral is "bacterial SSU rRNA". It matches the Rfam family "Bacterial small subunit ribosomal RNA", at positions 1 to 916 of the family's 1533-position model. The record is from RNAcentral. Lineage: Bacteria; Pseudomonadati; Bacteroidota.
GGAUCCAGACUUUGAUUCUGGCUCAGGAUGAACGCUAGCUACAGGCUUAACACAUGCAAGUCGAGGGGAAACGACAUCGAAAGCUUGCUUUUGAUGGGCGUCGACCGGCGCACGGGUGAGUAACGCGUAUCCAACCUGCCCAUCACUUGGGGAUAACCUUGCGAAAGUAAGACUAAUACCCAAUGACGUCUCUAGAAGACAUCUGAAAGAGAUUAAAGAUUUAUCGGUGAUGGAUGGGGAUGCGUCUGAUUAGCUUGUUGGCGGGGUAACGGCCCACCAAGGCUACGAUCAGUAGGGGUUCUGAGAGGAAGGUCCCCCACAUUGGAACUGAGACACGGUCCAAACUCCUACGGGAGGCAGCAGUAAGGAAUAUUGGUCAAUGGACGAGAGUCUGAACCAGCCAAGUAGCGUGCAGGAUGACGGCCCUAUGGGUUGUAAACUGCUUUUAUAAGGGAAUAAAGUGAGUCUCGUGAGACUUUUUGCAUGUACCUUAUGAAUAAGGACCGGCUAAUUCCGUGCCAGCAGCCGCGGUAAUACGGAAGGUCCGGGCGUUAUCCGGAUUUAUUGGGUUUAAAGGGAGCGUAGGCCGGAGAUUAAGCGUGUUGUGAAAUGUAGAUGCUCAACAUCUGCACUGCAGCGCGAACUGGUUUCCUUGAGUACGCACAAAGUGGGCGGAAUUCGUGGUGUAGCGGUGAAAUGCUUAGAUAUCACGAAGAACUCUGAUUGCGAAGGCAGCUCACUGGAGCGCAACUGACGCUGAAGCUCGAAAGUGCGGGCAUCGAACAGGAUUAGAUACCCUGGUAGUCCGCACGGUAAACGAUGGAUGCCCGCUGUUGGUCUGAAUAGGUCAGCGGCCAAGCGAAAGCAUUAAGCAUCCCACCUGGGGAGUACGCCGGCAACGGUGCAACUCAAAUGAAUUGACGG